Molecule: RNA transcript, 2962 nt
Organism: Populus nigra (black poplar)
Lineage: Eukaryota; Viridiplantae; Streptophyta; Magnoliopsida; Malpighiales; Salicaceae
Gene name: phosphatidylinositol/phosphatidylcholine transfer protein SFH8-like
Exons: 14
Source: RefSeq, a predicted model, not a curated record
CUAUACGCACCGUCUCUCCGCCUUUCCUUCUUCUUCAGUUAAAAAACAACUUUUUAUUCGCUCAUUUACAGAUAAUUACUACUGCUCCUCUUCUUUUCUUCAGUUUAUCAAUUUCCAUUUCGUAACGCUCCUUCUCCUUCCGUCACCACUACCUUUUCCUCUACCAGCAGAAGCAGUCCAUGGCAGUUUAAAAAGAUUCUUCUGAACUCCGUCAAAAAAAAAUCCAAAUAAGCAAUACAACAGUUACCACAGUCCUUAAUUAUUAUUAUUCUUUUGUAAUAUUGAUCUCUAAUUCUUGACAUGUCGAGUCCGUCGGAUCGCUUAGGGAGGCCUUGUCUUGAGGGGUUCUCUAGUAAUGAAGAGAAAAGAGAGAGGAAAUCGGAUUUUGAGAACUCAGAGGAAGAAAGGAAGACUAGAAUUGGGAGUUUGAAAAGGAAAGCAAUGAAGGCGUCUAGUAAACUCAGGCGUUCUCUCACGAAAAGCAAGAAAAAAGGUACUGGUGGCGAAGGGGUUUCUGCUGCAAUUGAGGAUGUUCGAGAUGUUGAGGAGCUUCGGGUUGUAGAUUCAUUUAAACAGUUACUUAUGGCGGACGAUUUGCUUCCUGCUAGACAUGAUGAUUAUCAUAUGUUAUUGAGGUUCUUAAAAGCAAGGAAGUUUGAUGUUGAGAAAGCCAAACAGAUGUGGGCCAACAUGCUACAGUGGAGGAAAGACUUCGGUACUGACACAAUUUUGGAGGAUUUCGAGUUCAGUGAGUUGAAAGAAGUUCUAAAUUACUACCCUCAGGGUUAUCAUGGUGUAGAUAAGGAUGGGAGACCCGUUUACAUCGAAAGACUUGGAAAAGUUGAUUCCAGCAAACUUAUGGAAGUGACCACUUUAGAAAGAUAUUUGAGAUAUCACGUGCAGGAGUUUGAAAAGACAUUCGCGAUUAAGUUUCCAGCUUGCUCCAUUGCCGCAAAGAGACACAUAGAUUCAAGUACAACUAUUUUGGAUGUGCAAGGACUUGGUUUAAAAAACUUCACCAAGUCCGCGCGAGAACUCAUCAUUCAGCUCCAGAAGAUUGAUGGUGACAACUAUCCUGAGACACUUUGCAGAAUGUUUGUCAUUAAUGCUGGUCCUGGUUUUAAGCUGCUCUGGAAAACAGUGAAAUCUUUUCUCGAUCCCAACACAGCUUCCAAGAUUUAUGUUCUUGGUAACAAGUACCAGAGCAAGUUGCUUGAAAUAAUAGGCUCUAGUGAGUUGCCCGAGUUUUUAGGUGGUAGCUGUACUUGUACUGAUCAGGGAGGCUGUAUGAGAUCUGACAAGGGGCCGUGGAAAGAUCCAAACAUUUUAAAGAUGGUUCUCACUGGUGAAGCACAAUAUUCCAGACAAAUAGUAACUAUUUCAAAUAGUGGGGGCAGGGUAAUUGCUUAUGACAAGCCAUUCAAUCAAAUGAUAAAAACAAGUGAUACUUCCAAUGCAGAGUCAGGAUCUGAAGUGGAAGAUGUUGGCUCUCCGAAGCCAACUGGGAGCUAUUUACUGCCAAGCCUGGUUCCUGUCUCUGAAGAAGCUAGGGUGGCUGGUAAGACGAGUGCUGCCAUUUUCCCUGAUAACAAUGGAAAUAUACCUAUAAUUGACAAGACAGUGGAUGCUGAAUUUCAAGAUUCAUCUCCUUCCACAGGCACACCUUCUCUGUUAAGUGUAGAGAAGAUUUCAGAAGGAAUCUCUGCUCGUACCUGGGCUGUGCUUGUGGCCGUCUUCAUAACCCUUCUUGCUUUCUUCCGUUCAAUGGCAUUUUGGAAGGCCAAGAAACACUCUGCAUCUGAUUCUGCCAGUGACAUUACUGACCUGACUUUUGAAUCGGCGCCAAAGGAGGAAUUCCGACCCCCUUCUCCCACUCCAGGGUUUACUGAGGCAGACCUUCUUUCAUCUGUCAUGAAAAGGCUGGGUGAACUUGAGCAGAAGGUUGACACAUUACAGACAACACCUUUCCAGAUGCCUUGUGAAAAAGAGGAGCUACUUCAUGCUGCUGUCUAUCGUGUGGAUGCAUUAGAAGCAGAGCUAAUUGCAACGAAAAAGUUAAUGGGAUGGAGUGGGGUUGUAUCUGAGUGUUGGGCAAGCUAAACAGGUUUGAUGCCAAUACCUCAUUUUUCUGAUGGCUCUUCGCCACCAUGUUUUCUGCAUUUGACAAAUAACUAUAAUUUUUAGGAAUACUUGUUUAAUCAGAAAUUGAUAAUGUGAACCUUUGGAUGGAAAGAAAAUUUGUACUUGUGGUCCAUGUGGCAUAUUUCUAACCAUCAUGCUUCUCACUCAAAGGCUUUGCACGAAGCUUUAAUCAGGCUAGAAGAACUUCUUGCAUAUGUAGAUGGUUGUGAAAAGGCAAGUUUUCAGAAAAAGAAGUUUUGCUGGUGAAGAGGUUUCUGCACAGGAGGAAUUUAUGUUGAUACCUUCGUUAAUUUCCAUAAUUAAUCUUCCACAGAUAUACGAGGUAAUAUUCCAAUUUGCUCUGGAUGAGAAUUUGGCAUCCAUAAAGAAGAGGGUGGGGCUGUUGCUCCUGUUGUGGUUUGCCUUCGUGAGAUAAGUUGAUAAUUGUAGCUUAAUUGGCGUGUUGCUGUUAAGAGAAGAUACCAGAAAGAGAAGCGCGUUCCUGGCAUUUUGUCUAUUCUACAUGAAAUUGAAAUGCAAGCCUGUAGUGUUUAUUACUGAGAAUUUGCACCAGUAGGCACAGGCCAUUAUUUGGGCAAGUAGCGUUGUGCCUUGUUUAUUAUAAAAAAAAUUACGCCUGAAGUCUUUUCACAUAUAGAUAGGGAAGUGUAAGGGAUGUGAACAUUGACCAAGAGGAAGAGAGGGAGAAGGUAGGAUCCCUGAUAAACAAUUUGCCCGGAUGCUGGGCUGCGAAAAUACGGCAAUGUAAUAACAGUGCUGCAAUCAAGCAGACAAUCACAAUCAAAAUGAGGAACUUACACGACCAGUUUCAGAUGUUAAA